This 411-nucleotide ribosomal RNA is filed under the name Bacteroidota bacterium. RNAcentral describes it as "Bacteroidetes bacterium partial 16S ribosomal RNA". It matches the Rfam family "Bacterial small subunit ribosomal RNA", at positions 355 to 776 of the family's 1533-position model. Lineage: Bacteria; Pseudomonadati; Bacteroidota. The record is from RNAcentral.
UGGGGAAUCUUGCGCAAUGGGGGAAACCCUGACGCAGCGACGCCGCGUGCGGGAUGAAGGCCUUCGGGUUGUAAACCGCUUUCAGCAGGGACGGGGCCUUAUGGUGACGGUACCUGCAGAAGAAGCUCCGGCUAAAUACGUGCCAGCAGCCGCGGUAAUACGUAUGGAGCAAGCGUUAUCCGGAUUCAUUGGGCGUAAAGCGCUCGUAGGCGGUCUGUUAGGUCGGCAAGUUAAAUCCGGGGGCUCAACCCCCGUCCGCUUCCGAUACCGGCAGACUUGAGUUUGGUAGGGGAGGGUGGAAUUCCUAGUGUAGCGGUGGAAUGCGCAGAUAUUAGGAAGAACACCGGUGGCGAAGGCGGCCUUCUGGGCCAUAACUGACGCUGAGGAGCGAAAGCUAGGGGAGCGAACAGG